GGCCGCAUGGCCUAAUGGUUAAGGUGCCAGAUUUCGGCAACGAACUCUCUGGAGAUUCCAGGUUCGAAUCCUGGUGUGGUCG
Transfer RNA from Erysiphe necator (grape powdery mildew), 82 nucleotides. It matches the Rfam family "tRNA". From Rfam's summary of the family: Transfer RNA (tRNA) molecules are approximately 80 nucleotides in length. Their secondary structure includes four short double-helical elements and three loops (D, anti-codon, and T loops). The record is from Rfam. Lineage: Eukaryota; Fungi; Ascomycota; Leotiomycetes; Helotiales; Erysiphaceae.